RNAcentral lists this ribosomal RNA (551 nucleotides) under uncultured bacterium. Its description in RNAcentral is "partial 16S ribosomal RNA". It matches the Rfam family "Bacterial small subunit ribosomal RNA", at positions 355 to 914 of the family's 1533-position model. The record is from RNAcentral.
UGGGGAAUAUUGCACAAUGGGCGAAAGCCUGAUGCAGCGACGCCGCGUGCGGGAUGAAGGCCUUCGGGUUGUAAACCGCUUUUAAUUGGGAGCAAGCGAGAGUGAGUGUACCUUUUGAAUAAGCACCGGCUAACUACGUGCCAGCAGCCGCGGUAAUACGUAGGGUGCAAGCGUUAUCCGGAAUUAUUGGGCGUAAAGAGCUCGUAGGCGGUUUGUCACGCCUGGUGUGAAAGUCCAUCGCUUAACGGUGGAUCUGCGCCGGGUACGGGCAGGCUAGAGUGCAGUAGGGGAGAUUGGAAUUCCCGGUGUAACGGUGGAAUGUGUAGAUAUCGGGAAGAACACCAAUGGCGAAGGCAGAUCUCUGGGCUGUUACUGACGCUGAGGAGCGAAAGCAUGGGGAGCGAACAGGAUUAGAUACCCUGGUAGUCCAUGCCGUAAACGGUGGAUGCUGGAUGUGGGACCCUUCCACGGGUUCCGUGUCGGAGCUAACGCGUUAAGCAUCCCCGCCUGGGGAGUACGGCCGCAAGGUUAAAACUCUAAAGUGAAUUGAC